Molecule: long non-coding RNA, 351 nt
Filed under: Capsicum annuum
Lineage: Eukaryota; Viridiplantae; Streptophyta; Magnoliopsida; Solanales; Solanaceae
Description: long non-coding RNA (CANN_LNC005521)
Source: RNAcentral
GAAUAAGUAAAAUUACAUAGAAAAUAUAUGAAAAUAGGUAUAAAACAUAUAAAAGCACCCACUAUAACAAAAAGUUUGUUGGGUGAAUUGGCAUUUGGGUUGAUCGGAAGCCUUGAGUUCGAACCUCAUUGAGGUGAUUUUUUAUUUUUUUCAGUUUUAAAAUUUUUUAAGCACCAACUAUCUUUAAAUCCUGGGUCCGCUACUGAUACUAGAUACAUGACAGAUAGAUUGAAGAUAGUAGUGCACUCUCAAAAUCAAUCUGUAUUAAUGCACCAAUACAAGAGAUACAUCAUGCAUUUUUUGUAUUGAAUGCACUAGAAGUUUUGAUAAUAUAGAUAAUGGAUGGAAGUG